RNAcentral lists this long non-coding RNA (518 nucleotides) under Cottoperca gobio. RNAcentral describes it as "lncRNA (ENSCGOG00000017658.1)". Lineage: Eukaryota; Metazoa; Chordata; Actinopteri; Perciformes; Bovichtidae. The record is from RNAcentral.
UGGCGUAUUAAACAACAAGAAGCAAAAAAACUAAGAAGAAAAGAUUUGGAGAAGAAACUUUAACUCGGUUAACUUUGUGGACAAGCAAAAACAUUAGAGAGGAGGUUAAAAAUAUUAUGUAUCCCCAUUCUCUCAUAUAAAGAAUACAGCGUGUUUUGGUCACAGUUAAUCUUAAAAGUUUAAAGUCUACUGGGAUGCUUGAAUAGAAUGGAGCCAUCAACAUUAUUAAUUACACCUGUGCUUUUUGUAUCACGGCAAGUAAAAAAUGCUCGCUGUGAAAUUAACUCUGAGGGACAUGUGGUAAGAGACGUAUGAGAAGUUGGAUUGUGGGUUGGUACUGCUCGACUAUACAGAUUUACGAAAGGAAAAAAGUGGGGAUUAUCAGGCGGACAGAUCCGGGAGACUCUAUCUGUCUCUGUCCAUGUCAGUGUAACACCGUGCUAAUCAAUGCUGAGGGGGAUACCAUGGAGUUGAUCCCAGGGGACAGGAGGCUUCUUCUACAACACAACUCUGCAUGA